This 297-nucleotide ribosomal RNA is filed under the name uncultured soil bacterium. Its description in RNAcentral is "partial 16S ribosomal RNA". It matches the Rfam family "Bacterial small subunit ribosomal RNA", at positions 26 to 352 of the family's 1533-position model. The record is from RNAcentral.
AGAGCGAACGCUGGCGGCAGGCCUAACACAUGCAAGUCGAACGAACUCUUCGGAGUUAGUGGCGGACGGGUGAGUAACACGUGGGAACGUGCCUUUUGGUUCGGAAUAACUCAGGGAAACUUGUGCUAAUACCGAAUGUGCCCUUCGGGGGAAAGAUUUAUCGCCAUUAGAGCGGCCCGCGUCUGAUUAGCUUGUUGGUGGGGUAAUGGCCCACAAGGCUACGAUCAGUAGCUGGUCUGAGAGGAUGACCAGCCACAUUGGGACUGAGACACGGCCCAAACUCCCACGGGAGGCAGG